GACGAACGCUGGCGGCGUGCUUAACACAUGCAAGUCGAACGGAAAGGCCCUGCUUGCAGGGUACUCGAGUGGCGAACGGGUGAGUAACACGUGGGUGAUCUGCCCUGCACUUCGGGUUAAGCCUGGGAAACUGGGUCUAAUACCGGAUAGGAGCUAUUUUUAGUGUGAUGGUUGGAAAGUUUUUUCGGUGUAGGAUGAGCUCGCGGCCUAUCAGCUUGUUGGUGGGGUAAUGGCCUACCAAGGCGGCGACGGGUAGCCGGCCUGAGAGGGUGGACGGCCACAUUGGGACUGAGAUACGGCCCAGACUCCUACGGGAGGCAGCAGUGGGGAAUAUUGCACAAUGGGCGCAAGCCUGAUGCAGCGACGCCGCGUGGGGGAUGACGGCCUUCGGGUUGUAAACCCCUUUCGCUAGGGACGAAGCUUUUUGUGACGGUACCUAGAUAAGAAGCACCGGCUAACUACGUG
Molecule: ribosomal RNA, 465 nt
Filed under: uncultured bacterium
Lineage: Bacteria
Description: partial 16S ribosomal RNA
Rfam family: Bacterial small subunit ribosomal RNA
Source: RNAcentral